AUGGAGAUCACGCUUCCGCUUCUGCGGUUGUUCUGGUCUGGAGACCAGCCGCAUGACCCGUCGCAUCACCAGCACCCGGUACCGUCUCUCGAUAACCCCGUCCUUGUUCUCGACCGCGAUUUGGCCUUUCUCCCUGAAUUUCGUGACGAGGUCCUGGAGAACGCUGUACUUUCAGCAGCAGCUGGAGGAUCUGUGAUCCUUCUAUUUUUGCCUCUCGUUGUCUGGUUUUGUACCAAAUCUAUGGAGAGAACUCUCAGGGUGGUGAGUACAUCUUCCAUGUGGGCUGCAGUUCUCAACAGUAUGGUCUGGGUCUUCUUUACCAUGGUCGUGAUGGAUAAGGAGGACUGCAUGGAGCUUGUGCUCGCAUAUCCGAUCGUCCUAGCUUCCAACUUCAUAUACCUGAUGAUCGUCUAUGGAUUUAUCAACAGCUUUAAAAUGGCAGCACUGAGUAGCCUUGUCACUUUAUCACUGGGUUAUGUUUUCUAUGCGAUACGAUUUCAUCCUGAUAUUCCUGAGAGCUGGGAGAUGCUUGGCUUGCUUGCGCUAUAUCAUGCUCCUGGGAAUGGCAACAAUGGUGGCGACAAUGCCAAUGGCAAUAAUCUGCAAGGAGCUGGUGGCGACAAUGCCAAUGUCAACAAUCCGCAAGGAGCUGGUGGCGACAAUGCCAAUGUCAACAAUCCGCAAGGUGCUGGUGGCAACAAUGCCAAUGUCAACAACCCACAAGGAGCUGAUGAUGAUGAUGAUGCCAAUGGCAACAAUCCUCAAGGUGCUGGUGGCAACAAUGCCAAUGUCAACAAUCCACACGGAGCUGAAGAUGAUGAUGAUGAUGAUAGUGAUGAUGAUGAGGAUGAUGAUGAUAACGAUAAGGAUGAUGGUGAUGACAAUGAUGAUGAUGAUGAUGAGGAUGAUGCCAAUCCACAAGGAGUUCAUGGCAACAAUCUGCAGGAAGAUGAUGAUCUACACGGAGAUGAUGUUGCUGAUGACACUGUGAACAGGGGAGAAGCUGAUGGGGUGAAAGUUGAGAAUGAUACAGAUGAUGACUUCGAAGAUUCUGGAAAUUUUGAUGCUACUGACACAGAUACCUUUUACGACGCUGUUGGAGAUGACCUGAUGAAAGAUAACAUGCCAAAACUUGUUACUCCUGAACACAAAGUUCCUCAAACUGUAUCCUUCACCCCAAGAUCUAAGAAGCCCUCAGAGCGAAGCUCAUCUCACAGGUCCAAUGGAGAAGUAAAGAAGUCAAAUGAUCGAACUAAAAAAGGAAUCAACCUAGCUGACAAAAAACCAAUGAGGAAUGCGCCAGCAAUUGUAGCUCCUGGUGGUAGCUGGUGCCUGCCUCGUACACAGCGCAAGCGUCAGGAUACACUACAGCAUACUUUGAAGAGUUGUCCUGUGCCAAAUCAAGAAAGAAGGCACCUUUUGCCUGGAAUCAUGGCACCAUCAGCAUCCACUGGUCAGAAAGUCAACCUGAAGGGGUACAAGACCCUACCCCAUGCUAUUCAGCUGGUAACGAUGAUGUCGGGGACGUCUUCAGCUUCAACAUUGACGAUUGGGGACCAGAACAAGAAGUUCAAGGUGAGCCGUGCUUUGACGUGGAUGGUGGUUAUCUGCAUACCGGCUACUUUCAUUGCCAUCACAGCAGGUUCGGCCUACAGGAUGUAUAACAAACCCAUCUGGGCCGCCGGCUUCCCAUCGAGGCUGCCAGUUGUCUUGAUGUUGGGAGCUUACCUGGCAGUGGUGAACCUGGCGCUGGGGUACUUGACCCUCUACUUGCCACAGGCACCCUUCGCUGUGUGGAAAGCUCUGGAUGAUGUUGGUCUCAGGUUGAUUGGCCUUGCCGUUAUCUUAAUCUCUGGCCCUGUUUUGUUGUCUGCCCAGGCGUGGCUGCACAUCAUCUGGGCUUGCCUUCUUGGCGUCCUCAUUGCUGCCAUCCUUGCCUUCUGUGUCUGUCUUGCUCGGACGUACAGCAAGUAG
This 1974-nucleotide ribosomal RNA is filed under the name Triticum aestivum (bread wheat). Its description in RNAcentral is "partial small subunit ribosomal RNA". The record is from RNAcentral. Lineage: Eukaryota; Viridiplantae; Streptophyta; Magnoliopsida; Poales; Poaceae.